CACAACUGUGGGGCAGAGCCAGAAAGCCCAGGGUCCCCUCACAGUGGGGGAAUAAGGAUGUGGAUCAUCCAGCAGUGAAUGAAUUUUCUUCCUAAGCUAAAAGUUGCAGCUUUCAGAAAACUACCCAGUGUCUCCAGCAUCUCUCUCAUGGCUGCUAUCAGCACUGUAAAAGCAGCACUGCAUACACAUAGAUCCACACCCUCAGGUCUCCUCAGGAUAAAUGGAGAUAUGCCAUGAACUCAGUAGACUUAGAAUCAGGCUCACAACUCAGGAGUUAGGAGCACUGAAAUCAGUCAAAUUCAAUUCUGGUUAAGGAUCCAGCUCUCACCUCUGAGACUUGCUUGGGAUACCUCUCUGUCCAGGCAGGCAGCCAUGGAAAAGUUUCUGCCCUGGGUGCUGCUGCAAAAUUACUUUGGACUGUUCAUACAAGACUCAAAGAUCACCAUGGACACAUGGACCUCAACCCUGGACCCCACGACCCUGAUAUCCCAUGGAUAUGUAUGGAUUAUACUAUGUGCAUUAAUGCCACAGACGCCUGGCACAGAAUAAAGAGUUUGAACUCCUUUGCAUAAAAUCAGACAGAAAGGAA
This is a long non-coding RNA of Passer domesticus (house sparrow), 589 nucleotides long. RefSeq lists it as uncharacterized. The record is from RefSeq and is a predicted model, not a curated record. Lineage: Eukaryota; Metazoa; Chordata; Aves; Passeriformes; Passeridae. The transcript is spliced from 4 exons.